CCUACGGGAGGCAGCAGUGGGGGAUCUUGCACAAUGGGGGAAACCCUGAUGCAGCGACGCCGCGUGGGUGAAGAAGCGCCUCGGCGCGUAAAGCCCUGUCAGCAGGGAAGAAAAUGACGGUACCUGAAGAAGUAGACCCGGCUAACUACGUGCCAGCAGCCGCGGUAAUACGGAGGGGGCAAGCGUUAUCCGGAUUUACUGGGUGUAAAGGGGGCGCAGACGGAGAGUCAGGCCAGGAGUGAAAGCCCGGGGCCCAACCGCGGGACUGCUGUUGGAACUGCGUGGCUAGAGUGCAGGAGAGGUAGGCGGAAUUCCUGGGGUAGCGGUGAAAUGCGUAGAUAUCAGGAAGAACACCGGUGGCGAAGGCGGCCUGCUGGACUGCAACUGACGUUGAGGCCCGAAAGCGUGGGGAGCAAACAGGAUUAGAUACCCUGGUAGUC
Molecule: ribosomal RNA, 440 nt
Filed under: uncultured bacterium
Lineage: Bacteria
Description: partial 16S ribosomal RNA
Rfam family: Bacterial small subunit ribosomal RNA
Source: RNAcentral